This 325-nucleotide unclassified non-coding RNA is filed under the name plant metagenome. RNAcentral's name for it is "partial contains 5.8S ribosomal RNA, internal transcribed spacer 2, and large subunit ribosomal RNA". The stretch from base 1 to 106 matches the Rfam family "5.8S ribosomal RNA", at positions 49 to 154 of the family's 154-position model. The record is from RNAcentral.
CGAAAUGCGAUAAGUAAUGUGAAUUGCAGAAUUCAGUGAAUCAUCGGAUCUUUGAACGCACAUUGCGCCCACUAGUAUUCUAGUGGGCAUGCCUGUUCGAGCGUCAUUUCAACCCUCAAGCCUUAGUUGCUUGGUGUUGGGAGCUUAUCUUGCCGGAAGGCGGAUAACUCCUUAAAACCAUUGGCGGUGUCGCGGUGACGCCAAGCGUAGUAAAUCUCUCUUUUUCUCGCUUUAGGCAGUCAACGCUGGCCUCUAGCCGUUAAAACCCCCCUAAUCUUUUAAUGGUUGACCUCGGAUCAGGUAGGACUACCCGCUGAACUUAAGC